CCUACGGGGGGCAGCAGUGAGGAAUAUUGGUCAAUGGCCGGAAGGCUGAACCAGCCAUGCCGCGUGAAGGUCAGUGCCCUAUGGGCGUUAAACUUCUUUUGUGCGGGAGCAAUAAUGGUCACGUGUGGCCAGACGAGAGUACCGUACGAAUAAGCAUCGGCUAACUCCGUGCCAGCAGCCGCGGUAAUACGGGGGAUGCAAGCGUUAUCCGGAUUUAUUGGGUUUAAAGGGUGCGUAGGCUGGGAGGUAAGUCAGCGGUGAAAUGCCCCCGCUCAACGGGGUGAAGUGCCAUUGAUACUGUCUGGCUGGAAGGUGGAUGCGGUGGGAGGAAUGUGUGGUGUAGCGGUGAAAUGCAUAGAUAUCACACAGAACACCGAUUGCGAAGGCAUCUCACGAAUCCGCGAUUGACGCUGAUGCACGAAAGCGUGGGUAUCAAACAGGAUUAGAUACCCCAGUAGUC
Molecule: ribosomal RNA, 460 nt
Filed under: uncultured bacterium
Lineage: Bacteria
Description: partial 16S ribosomal RNA
Rfam family: Bacterial small subunit ribosomal RNA
Source: RNAcentral